GAGUUUGAUCAUGGCUCAGGACGAACGCUGGCGGCGUGCUUAACACAUGCAAGUCGUACGAGAAAGUUCCCUUCGGGGGAUGAGUACAGUGGCGCACGGGUGAGUAACGCGUAAGUAAUCUGCCCCUUGGUCUGGCAUAACUCCGGGAAACCGGGGCUAAUAGCAGAUGAUAUCGUAAGAUCAAAGCCUUCGGGCGCCAAGGGAUGAGCUUGCGUCCCAUUAGCUAGUUGGCGGGGUAACAGCCCACCAAGGCGACGAUGGGUAGCUGGUCUGAGAGGAUGAUCAGCCACAUUGGGACUGAGACACGGCCCAGACUCCUACGGGAGGCAGCAGUGAGGAAUAUUGCGCAAUGGACGAAAGUCUGACGCAGCAACGCCGCGUGCAGGAUGACGGCCCUCUGGGUUGUAAACUGCUGUAGCAGGGGAAUAAUACCGCCUCGGGCGGGUUGAAGGUACCCCUGAAGUAAGCUCCGGCUAACUACGUGCCAGCCGCCGCAGUAAC
Molecule: ribosomal RNA, 501 nt
Filed under: uncultured delta proteobacterium
Lineage: Bacteria; Deltaproteobacteria
Description: bacterial SSU rRNA
Rfam family: Bacterial small subunit ribosomal RNA
Source: RNAcentral